CAUGUAUCCCUUAACUCUCCAACUAGCUGGUAGAAUCCCAGAGUAUAUUCUUUUGGGUACAGCAAUGUGUUCCAUGUAAAAUGUCUAUUGUGGGUCACUAGAGGUCCCCAUAGUGGACAGAAGGGAAAAACAAGAGGAGAAUCAGAAAUAAAAAGGGGAGGAGAAGACAAAAGGAGAGAAUUAAGUAAAACAUUUCAUUGUGUUAGUGAUCACUAUCUUAAAUACACACCAGUUGGUUUUCCAUCUCUCCAGGACAGAAAUUCUGUUGUCAACUCCCUAGUUUCCGGGGUAAAGGCAAGCAGCAUAGCCCAUCACUGCCAUCAGCAGCUGGCACCUCAGCAGCCUUCACAGACACAGCUGAGCACCAUCAACCUCCCGUCUCAGCUCCACUUGCACUGCUCUGAGCUCCAGACCACAAACCCAGCCUAAAGACACCUUCUCUGGAUGCUCCACAGGCAUGCCCAGUUCAACGUGAUAGUCUCCCAUCUAAAGACACUGGUCCACACUCAACACACCCAGCCAACCGGAGAAAAUGACCUCAUUCUGUACCGGCACCCGCUGCCAGCAGGGGUGAGAGAAAUCCCAUCCGAUACAUAAGAGAGAUGUGGAGAAAACCACAUCAGCGGAAGAGAAGCCACAGUGAAAGAAUACCCAGGUAGGGGGCUUCCAGAGGAAGUGCCUUGAAUCCCGGGAUUGCCUGAGUCACUCAUCUCCAGAUUGGUAAAUGAGCUGUUUGUCGGGGGUGGUGGGGGUGGUAGCGGGGAGGGGGGGUGUAUGAUGAAGAUUUAUUAUUAUGCUUCUGUAAUUUGCUUAACAAUUUAAUAAUGGCAUGUUUCUUCUCGGGGUCUUUGAGAACAGGUGUUUCCUAAGGAACAAGUGAGUUGUCAAGGCGUCGGCAUCGCAGGUGCUCUGCAGCUGUGGCCUGCCUGGCUCUGGUGGGCACUCCAGCUGGGGAGCCGCUCCUCACAGCCAGGAUGGUGGGGCUUUCUCUUCAGAUCCCUCCUCACCAGACCUUGCAGAGUCAUGGCUGAGGUCCAGGAGGCAAGGUUGCCACAAGUAGUAUGGUAGGACAGGGCAAUAUAGGAACUGGGCAUGUAAGGGAGAUUAAGAGCAGGGAGGAGGCCUCUCAGCUCCCCACAUGCCUGGUGCUGUGUGGUGCCAAGAAAGGCAGAGCUACUGGAGCUACAGCCAUGAUUUGUGAGUUGGAAGAUGUAGGAGGUCUGAGGUAAGGUGAAGCAUGAUCCUGUUGAUAUGAGAAAAAUCACUAAAGAAAGUUGACAGUGCUAGCAGCAAACCGCCAAACUGAGAAUAGGACCCCCUUGUGGGGAAUUAGAGGAAGGAUUGAAAGAGUUGAAGGAGAUUGCAACCCCAUAAAAACAACAAUGCCAACCAACCAGAGCUUCCAGGGACUAAACCACUACCCAAAGACUAUACAUGGACUGACCCUGGACUCUGACCUCAUAGGUAGCAAUGAAUAGCCUAGUAAGAGCACCAGUGGAAGGGGAAGCCCUUGGUCCUGCCAAGACUGAACCCCCAGUGCAGGGGAAUAUGGGGGAGGGCAAUAAGGGAGAUGUAUAGGGGGAAUACCCGUAUGGGGGAGGGGAGGGGAGGGACUGGGGGCUUAUGGACAGGAAACCGGGAAGGGGAAUAACCUUUGAAGCAUAAGUAAAGAAAUAUAUAAUAAAAAUUAAAAAAAAAAAGAAAGUUGACAUUUUACCUGUAACUCAGAGUCCAAUGCCUCCUUCAGGGGGACAUUUCCACCAGACCUCUCAGACUCACAAUGGAACAACUGCAAGAUCUUGCAGCACUUCAGAAUGUAGCAGGAGCAUUAGCCACUUCAGCCUCCACUAGGGACAUCUGUCACCUCUGAGGUGACUCCUCAUGCUGAACCACAGCCCUAACAGACUAUCAGAACACCCUACUAACACUCUUGAUAGGGUCUGCUCAUCUACACCGUGUGUCCUGAGGCUCACCUGUCCCUACCCUUGGCAGCAAAUGUCCCAGACCUCCAGUUCAACUGUCUAGAGCACCCAGCUGCAACCAACUCUGUUUCCAGACUAACACAACAACGUAUUUCCUGUCGCAUUAUCCUCAUAAUUACCUCGACAGACUAUCACUAUGCCAUUUUAAACCCCCAUUCACUAGUCCUCCACUGUCUCCUCCAUUAAAACACUUCUAUUAAAAGGCUUACUUAUGAUACCAUCAAUUUAUUUCUUCUUGCUUCUCCUGAAUCCACACUAAAACAGCAUCCUACCAAGGUCAUCAGUACCUCCACAUUGCUACCAUGGGUUAAUGUUCUCAGUUCACCUCUGGGUGUGACCCAAGCAAAGCAGUCUUCCUCCUCCUGCUCAUAUUUCCACUUGGCUUCCAGGCUGUUCCUCUUUUAUCUUUAUAACUUUUCUUUUCUAAGACGUCUCAUAUCCCUGUCUUCUAAAUACUAAAUGCACUAGAAUCUCAUCCUUGAACAUGUUUUAUUUUCUACCUGCAUUCUUUCCUUCAGCGAUCUCAUCGCCCAAAUUUACAUGGCAGCACUCCCUGCAUGCUCAUCUUCUGCUCAACCUAGACUCAAAUAUCCCACUGCUUACUUAGAUGUCUAACACGCACUUCAAACUCAACAUGGUGGAUUUGCUAAAAUUUAUCAUACUUAACCCCCAUCCUUUCCUCAUUUCAGGUAAUGUCAUUUUGCUCAUUCAAUCCCAAACCAUGUUGUCCUCCUUAAUGUUGCUCUCUUAUACCUUACAUGUAACCAACCAGCAAACCCUUUAUUUAUUCAGAAUAUGAAUCUCGCCAUGACUGGCCAGGUCCAUCACUCCUAUCUAAUUAUUUUUGACAGAUUUUGAUGUUGGUUCCUUAACUGUGCCUGUCU
Molecule: non-coding RNA, 2866 nt
Organism: Rattus norvegicus (Norway rat)
Lineage: Eukaryota; Metazoa; Chordata; Mammalia; Rodentia; Muridae
Source: RefSeq, a predicted model, not a curated record